CAGUUAGAUAUGUCCCAGAAAGUAGAGAGUUUGAAACUUUGCCUAGUCCAAGGUUUAUAAACAUAGUCAUAGUCAAUGCCCUGCAAUGAGGAAAAAAAUUAUAAAAGUACAUCCCACCAAAGAUAACAUACAAACAUGCACACCUGAAUUAGCUUUUGGAAAAAAAAAAUAUGGACCAGAUAAAAAUUCACAGUCAAACAAUUUAUGCAUGCAAAAAACAUAGCCUCUCUAGAUUUUUAAGUCUCAAUCUCUUCUUGAAGCUAACAUUCUGCCUAGUUGUGAAUUACUCACUCUCUAGGCUCUUGAAAGGAAAUUAUGUCAGACAGUAGUGAUUUUCCAGUCAUUUCAGUUGCAUGAAUAUUUCUCUGCCACUAUUUAUUGAGAAAGCACCUGGUCCAAGGCCAUCUUCUGCGGACACCUCCCAAGAUGUACAAUCUUCUUCUCUGGCUAUUUUUCAUCAGAAUAUUCUUACGUUAGAAUCUGCAGGAGUCAGAAUCUCAAUGUACCAUCGUCUGAUGCAGUAGUCUUGUUUUCCUGUGACACUCAGCCCCCAUGUUCCAUUUGCUCCUGGGUCAUCCUCUUGCAUCAUGAGAUACUUUCUCUAGCUAACUUUUCUGCCUUAAUUUGGGGCCAAACUAAAAUCACUGACCAAUGGCUUGGAAGCAGAAAUUUCUGUGAGGCUGCAUCAAGUCUGUUUGCCUAGAUGGCUUAUAUAGUCAUUGUGAUGUGAGUGUUCCAGAACCAUGCUGGGCCCAUGGUUUCAUCAGUGGGCUUGCUGUUCCCUGGACCUCCAGUUGAGAAACAGGCCCAAGACCCUCUACGUUAAGGUUUCCCAAAGUUUACAGGGAGUUUUAAUCCUAACUCCAUGUCUAUGUAAGAGGACAAAGAGCCCCUUCUCAGGCAUGAAAAAUUCUGAAUCUCUCUAGAAAUUCUGUUAUUGGUCUCCCUCUCCCAUCCCUGGGAACUCAUACAUAUCCCUGGACUACAGGAUGUCAGAAAUGGAGGGUUCUACCUUCUUCCACUUUAGGCUAGGACUUCUUGUGAAUAUUCACAAAGUGCUUUCACUCAACACUAAUUUUUAUGGCCAAGAAAUACAUAUGUUGAAGUCUUAAACCCCAGUACCUCAGAAUGUAACUAUAUUUGGAGAUAGAGUCUUAAAAAAGGUAAUUAAGAUUAAAUGAAGUUGCAUGGGUAGGCCCUAAUCCAGUCUGACUGGUGUCAUUAUAAGAGAAGAUCUGGACCCACAGAGAUACCAUGGAUGCACAGGCAUAGAGAAAAGGCCAUGUGGGGACAUAGUGAGAAGGCAGCCAUCUACAAGCCAAGGAGAGAGGCCUCAGGAGAAACCAAACUUGCCAACACCUUGAUCUUGGACUUCCUGCCUCCAGAACCAAAAAGAGCACCAUAAACUGCUAAGCAAGAGAGAGAAAUAACUAUUUCUUCUGAUGCUGCUGGAGAUCCGGGUAGUCCGGGAAAGGAUGUCAGUUAAUGAUUUCCCUCCUCAGUGCAGCCUGAAUCCCGUCUGCAGCUCCCUCGUGGUAUGAUUCCACGAAGCACUGGAAAAUUAAGGAGGAAAUCUACUGCCAUUCUUCAACUCCUGACACGUUUAUGGAAGCCCCAGUCCACACUAGACAGAGUGAUCGGGUCUGCUGGUACAGUUUCUGCUAGCAGGGGCCUUACCCUCCAGUUUAAAAGAUAGGUAAUUACACAGCAACUGCUGUCAGAGUGAAACAGCCCCUCCCCAUCUCAGCGUGGGCCUAUCAGAGAGUCCUGUUUAUCUUCUCCCCCGCUCCUCCUCCUCCGCCUCUUCUUCCUUCUUCUGCCCCUCCUUGCCCUAUCUUCCCUCCUCCUCCUUCUGUUUGUCUUUUCCGUUUGGACACAAGCUCAAUGAAAGCAGGGACCAAGUCUUUACUCUUUCUGACACAGUUAGAAGAACUUCUGAGAUAUUAUAUAGAGCCAGAUAUUGAUUUCUGAUACAUAGAAAGCAGAAUAAUUAGAUAUUGUAACAACUCUAUGACUUGUCUACUACCAGGUAGUAAUAUAAAAUGAAAGAAUCUCGUCUCUAGAUCUAGACAGAAAGACAUCUGAAGCAUGAAGAAAUACAAAAUCAAAUUAUGUGGUGUAGUCAUCUUUAUGGAGAUAAAAAAAGACGGUAAUCUGUCCUGAAAAUUAUGUUUAUAAUACAAGCAGACACAGAUACCCCGUGUGUGUCAGGGGUUGGGGUCUUCCUUUGGGGACCUCUGGCUUAGUGAUGCAAUUUCCUUCACCUCGCUACCUGCUCAAAGACCCGGUUGUCCUCAGAGGAAUCUCCCCUGUCACGUUUAUUUCAGUAGACGCUGAGAUUUCAGUUCUUUCUCUCUCUCAAGGCUUGUUCUCGCUCUCAUUCUUUGUCUAAUUCCUUUUGUUUUGCUUGGUUUUGUUUUAUUUAGUGGCUAGCAAUGAUUAAACAGUAUGUUUUAAACAGAUGUAGCUGUUUCAUAGUGAAACAGUCCUUCAGAAUAUUCAGAAUAUUUAAUCCUCCAAAAAGAUAAAUUGAAGUUCUAUUCCCCAGUACCUGUGAAUGUGACCCUAUUUGACAACAGGGUGGGCCCUGAUCCAACCUGACUGAUGCCCACAGGAGAGGAGAAGAGACACUCUGAGGCAGCCGAACCUGCAGAAUGCCAUGUGAAGACAAAGGCAGACACUGGAGUAGUGUCUACCAGCCAAGGCAUGUCAACGGUUUCCAGCAACACCAGAAGCUGAGAGAAGAGACUUAAUCACCUGCAAUGCAAUCUGUACAAGUCCUUAGAGGAAAUUUUUGGAAGAAAAUCUUAAAGGAAUUGCUGCCAAUAAGAGGAAAAAAUUUCCAUCCAGAGAAAAACACCAAGG
This 2865-nucleotide long non-coding RNA is filed under the name Equus caballus (horse). Its description in RNAcentral is "lncRNA (ENSECAG00000054071.1)". The record is from RNAcentral. Lineage: Eukaryota; Metazoa; Chordata; Mammalia; Perissodactyla; Equidae.